ACUGCCGGCAUCUACGCACCCUGAACGCGCCCGAUCUGGUCUCAUCUCGGAAGCUAAGCAGGGUCGGGCCUGGUUAGUACUUGGAUGGGAGAUCGCCUGGAAAUACCGGGUGCUGUAAGUU
This is a ribosomal RNA of Pan paniscus (pygmy chimpanzee), 121 nucleotides long. The record is from Ensembl. NCBI's taxonomy places the organism in Eukaryota, Metazoa, Chordata, Mammalia, Primates, Hominidae.